AGGUUAAGCUACUAAGGGCGCACGGUGGAUGCCUUGGCACUAGAAGCCUAAGAAGGACGGGA
RNAcentral lists this ribosomal RNA (62 nucleotides) under Guptibacillus hwajinpoensis. RNAcentral describes it as "Bacillus hwajinpoensis partial 23S ribosomal RNA". Lineage: Bacteria; Bacillati; Bacillota; Bacilli; Caryophanales; Guptibacillaceae. The record is from RNAcentral.